UAAAUUCAAAAUCAUUAAAUUUUCAUUCAAGAACAUUGUUCAGAAAGCAUUUCUAGAUUGGACCAGCAGAAAAAAAUGAGGCACCUCUUGACUUUGGAGCUCAUCAGCGCACAGAUAUCAUUUGGAGAGCUAUGAACUAAAUCCCAGAAAGCCAAUCAAUUGACAUAUGGCUGCUAGUGCAUGAGCAUCUAUCAACCAUGCUGACAGAAUUUUGAAGGCAUAUAGAAAGGGAUGGAAUGUAAAAAUGAUUUACUAUGUAAGUCAAAAAACUACAUAAAUGUUGGAUUAAUUAACAGUAAAUUAUAAAGAUGUAUCUUUGUUGUGUUCAAUUCCCCCUCCUUAGUAGAAUAGCUGUAUGUCAAAUAUAAAUUUAAUAAGAAAUGGUAAUGAACACGAUUCUUGACUUACAGUAUGUCUUGGGUGAUGAACACCUCGCUAGUGGUUUUCAAGUGAUUUUGGAAGUAUUUUCGUGCUAUUCACACCCCAUGAUCGCCCAAUUUGGAGCUACCCUAGAAAGCCGAGCUCUUUUAUGUUUACUAUGUGUUUUUGGAGAUGUUUUUUAAUCUGCUUUCAUUUAAAUUUGGUGAGUUUAAAAGUCCAACUAGUGUCCAGAACUGGGGCAUAUCAGAAAGCAAAGGUUGGAAACCCUAGAUUCCCACCUUCAGCCAUGAGGAUUUGCUUUCCAAAUGCCUUCCUGAAGUAUUAUCUUUUGAUGCCCUCAUCUUAAUUUCACAACUCGAAUCCAUACCCUUGCCCUGAAAUUUGAGGUGUGUGAAUUUUGGGUUGUUUGGAUCAUUAGAUCUCCACUUAUGCUUUAAGAUGGAGGUGUUUUAGAGGUUAUUGAUACUGGGCAUGGGGUUAAAUACCAAAUUUCCAGAUGAAGAACCAACUCAGUUUUUUCUCCAUUUUGGAGGCCUCUUGUCCUUUGUCACUUCUAGGGUUUAAAUUUUCUCAUUCUCCUUCAUGGAUUAACCCAGAUAAAUUUAUGGUUUAGCUCUAGUUUGGAUUAUUCUUGCUUUGUGCAUCAUCCAUCUAACUAUGGGACUCCAUUUAUGUAGUAUUACUCCACAUUUUCAUAUGUAUUUUGGUAGUUUGGUUUCAAUAAUGGAGAUAUUUAUGCUUUCUUUAUUUAACUAGCUUCCUUGUGCUAGGGUGAUGGCCACAUAAGGCGUGAACUCCAAUGGUUGCAUGUUUUGUAUCAAACAUUAUGAGUUUAAGGUUGAAAUCUACAUUUUGUUUUUGUAUUUAUGCUUUAUCCCUUGUUUUCAACCCUUGUUUUAGAUUAUGAAGUGCUUAAGAAAUACUUUAGGUGUUUGAGUUUUGAGUUAUUCUUCUUCCUUGAAGCCUUACUUUAAAUUAUGGAAUACUUGUGGACACUUUGGGUGCUUAAUUGUGUUGUUAAUCACUUGGUUUUGUCAUGACUUCUUUUCAUAAUUUUAGAUCUUGAGUUGGUGAUUUUGAAGUUUGUGUGUUUAUUAUCAGAGGCAAAACAUCUUGUAGAGAACAUGUUUCUGAAAAUGAAAAAGUGAUUUUAAAGUUAUAUCUUAAAAUUUUAGUCAGUCGCUUCCCUUAUUAUAUUUGGUGUUUGGUGCAUAAGAACUUGGGAGGGAACUCUAAAAGGAUGUUCAUUCCCUAGUGUGUUUUAUAUUUUUUUUUAAUUACUUCAAUAUGCUUCAAUUUCUCCUAUCUUUUGAAAAACGUCAACACCAACCAUUCUACUAAUUUCUAUCCAUUUCACUUUCAUUUAUCUCUAACAUCCUCUCGAUACUCUCUCUUCUUCUUUUUCCCCGUGGAUCGACACUUGGCUCAUUGUUUUUUUUUUUUUCCUUUUGCAACCAAAUCCUUGCACUUAAGGUAGAAGUGAUCACCAUUUGUAUAUAAGAUUAUUAGAACUAAAUUCAUAAUAAUCAUAUUUUUUAAAGUUUUGCUUCUCCUUUCUACUACACCAUUGUGUGGUGGUGUAUAAGGUGCUAUCGUUUGUUGGAUGAUACCAUUUUGUUCACGAAAAUUAGUUAAACUUGUUAUUAAUUUAUCGAAGGUUUCAAUAUAAUUGGUUUUUUACUUCAUUUUUUUAAGAUUUAAAUUUAUCAAAAGUUUCAUCCAUAGAAGCAAGAAGAUAAAUCAUGCAAUAUCUUGUAUAAUCAUUAACUAAAGUAACAAAAUAUUUUUUACCUCCUCUAAUUGGAAUAUAUUUAAGUUCACACACAUUUGGUAUAUAUUUCAAUAUUUUUAAAAGGUUAUUAACGAAUUUAUUUCAAUGCAAGUUUCACACUUACAUAAUCCAUCAAUUUUAGACUUAGGAAUUAAAUUUAAAUUCAUUAAUUUAGUCUCGUGCCAUAAAGAGUAGCAUUAAAAAAAUAUAAGCAAAAAAAACAUUAUUUAUUAAUAUAUAUAUAUAUAUAUAUAUAUAUAUCAUGUUUAAAUAACAAAACACAUUCCUACAAAGGCCCCAUUUUUGGUGAUGACACAUUUACCUGAUUCAAUCCCUGUCUUAAUGCCCAUCCCAAGACCAUAUUUUAGUGCUUUAAAUUAGGUUAGUAUUUUUGUUUCAUUCAUGUACUAGUUCCACUCAACUCACUGUCUUCAAUCUAUAUUGUUGUAAUCAACUUCAAGAUGCUUAAAAGGCUAUGUUGGUUAUGGUAACUAGGUGUUUGGAGUACUAUAACAAUGCAAUGGUUAUUUACAACUAAAUAAAAUGAAAAUUUAUGGCAAAAUGUACUUGCAAACAACAAAAAGAAAAAAAAUGUGGGCGGAAGGGAUGUUCAAAUGCCUCUUAGGAAACAUACGUUCAAUGUCCCAUAGACAUUUAGACAUUCUAUAUGGGGAUGUUCAAAUAUUUCAUCACUAUUCAAAUAUCUACAACAAUUUGAACUUUACUUGGCUAGGUGAUUUUUUCCCUAUUUUACAACAAUUAAUAUUUUCAAAUGCACAUUUUGGUAAAUUUACCUUACCUAAAAUGACUCUAAAUAAGACUAAGGUUUUUCCUAAAAAACAUAGGGCCUGUUUGAGAACUGUUUUCAAGAACAAUUUUCUAUUUUUUAGAACAAAAAAAUUGGAAAACACAUUUGGCAACCAAAAAAUAGGAUAUUUUCAGAUAAUAUCUUUUAGUUGUUUUAACUUGUUUCUUAAAAGUUGUUUUAAAAAAUAAUUAUACAAACAUAUAUAAUGAUUAAAAAUAAAGUUGUGGACAUAAAAACUAUUUUUAAAACUUAUUUAAAAAUAUUAAAAACAUGUAAAAAACAUUUGAAGUUCCUAAACAAACUUUGUUUUACAAAACAUCAAAGAACAAUUUCAAAAACUAUUUUUGAAAUCUAUUUUGAAAAACAGUUACCAAACAAGGUCAUAGUCCUUAGACUUUAUUGGUGUUAAUACAUAUAUUGCAAAUAUAGUCAAUUACUUUGCCCUCAAAUGUGUAACUCUCAAAAGCUUCCAAGAUUGUAACUUGAAAGCCUUUUGGGUAGAAAGCCAAGAUGAUGCAUAAAUCUAUAAGCUACUUGAUACAAGCUUUGAGGUGUUUUGCUAAGGAGCACAAGGUACUAUAUCGUAGAUGUGAUAAAGAGCAUAGGUACUAACUAGUAUAAGACCAUUAUGCUAUUUUUUAUUCCCAAAAAAUACUAAGAAAAAAAAAUUAUAAGAAAAAUGAUUUUCUUAUAUUUGGUUGUCCUAUGAAAAAUAUCAAAGAAAAUCAAAUAUAAUAAAUUUAUACAUCUUCAAAUUAUUUAAUUUUUACUUGGAACCGUUAAAAUAAGUGAAAUGAGUAUGAAGUAGUAUAUAAAAAUAAUUUAUUAAUUUUAAAUCUAUUUUUUAUUUUCCUUCCUUUUUUCUUUCCUUCCACUUUUCCUUUCUAUUUUCUUUUUUCUCACAUUUUCCCUCGAAUUUUCUAGGAAUCAAACAUAGCCAUAAGAAUGGUGCAUCCAAAUAAAAUAAAAUUAUGUCCUUCUGUUUAGAUUUAAUGGAGUUAAUAUUUUGUGAUUGUUUGACCUAGGACUUUUCAAUCUAUAGAGUUUUUGUAUAGGUAGUUCUUUCUUGUAUAUAUAUCUCUUAUCCAUUGCAUAGAUAGAUUAGUCUUAUAUUCCAAUUUGAAUUAAUUUACAUCUAACAAAAUUUGAAUUAAAAAUAUUGGGAUACAUAAAGCUUAGACUAACUAUUGACUCUCCCCUAGGUAGAUCAAUCUGUCAAUUAAGAACAGACUUUCACAUAUUUUUCCUAUCAGCACAAUGCUUGUAUUUCUCUCCCUUAUAUCAGGAACAUGUAGAACAUGACAUAAGGUAAGUGUCCUCCUUGCAGUGAAUCUCAUUCCAACCUUGCUUUGGCUUCACUUUCAACUUUCAAUUAAAGCCAAAAACAAGAAACAAUCCCACACAAGGCUUAUUAAGCUUAAACUACUCAUAUUAAAAGUUAAAUAUUUAAACUAAAUAGUUUAGUGCUUCUCAGGGACUUGAUAAUACUCCAAGAUUAAUCAUUCAUUAUGUAAAGAUGCAUGAUUAUCAGAAUACGGAGUAUUAAGGCUUUCUUACUCAAAUGGAUUAGUCACUUCACACGCACAGCUUCUUACUAUGAACAGUUCAAACACCAUUUGUCGACAUGCUUACAUUGCUGGCAGUUUAUGUGGUCUAUCAACAAGUGGACGUGAAAAAAAAUCAAAAACCACUUUAAUUAUCCAAAGGCAUAUACAAAUUUCCUUGAUGAUUAUUCUUUUUCUCAUAAGAUAGCUACAAAAAUAUCGACACGUAUACCACAAAGUAAAUUCCAACCAUGAACGAUCCUCCUCUUUCAAGCAGACGCAAAUCCAAGAGAUUCUAUUCCCAUAUUCAUAAUCUAGCAUUUCAGCCGAUCAAACACUCUCUCUCCACCAUACAGGGGGUUCAUAUUUCUCAUGUUGAGCAAGAAAUUGGCACAAGUAUAAGAAAAGGCUUAUGGAUAAAAUGAGAAUAUGAAUGAUUCCCUUUAGGUCGCACUAUAGCACUUGCCUUAGCCAGUCAACCAGUAUAGAGAAUAAUUAGGAUGUCGGCACUCCUCUGCCUAUAUAAACGUUAACAAUGUUGCAUUACAAGACAAGGAUUUGAGAAGCUAGGAUACAACAUCAAAUUAGUGCUAGCUAGCUACUCCACAUUUUGCAGGUGUGAAAAUUAAUUUCAAAUAGUUGUCUGGUUCUUGAUGCUUUGUUUUGUGUCCUAAGAGUUUUGCAUGAAGAGGUAGAGAGGGUGGAAUUGAGUCAAGGAUGACUUGCCGAUAUAUAUUUGCAGAAGGCAUGCAGGGGCUUUUAGCUAUGUGUAACCGGCAAGUUGACUUGACUCAGUUUGGCCCUCUUCUUCUCAUGUGAAGCUCUGUGGACUAUCAGUGCUGCCAGAAAGCUACAGCCAAGAAAGUUUAACACUAGUAGGAUGCAAACCAUCCCUAAAAAAGAGCUAAACCAAAUCUUUUUUCAUUUCUUCUUUUCUCCUUUUCGUUUGUUUAUUUACAUUAUUAUUGCUAAUAAUGUUAGGAGAAUAGUGAUUAAACUCUUCAUCACGCAAAGGCGAGCAGGAAAUUAUUUCCUUCUCUUUCAGACACCUUUUUCUCAACCAUGUAUGUUUUACAGAAACCAAAAUAAGAUGUCAUGCAUGCACAUGCAGGUUCUUUAUUAACCAGGAGAUUGGAUCCUGAUUCUUCAGUCAUGAACCAAGUGCCACCAAAAAGAGUUGUUUUCUAUAAAUUCAAAAUCAUUAAAUUUUCCUUCAAGAACAUUAUUCAGAAAGCAUUUCUAGAUUGGACCAGCAGAAAAAAAAAUGAGGCACCUCUUGACUUUGGAGCUUAUCAGCGCACGGAUAUCAUUUGCAGAGCUCUGUUCUAAAUCCCAGAAUGUCAAUCAAUUGAUGUACGGCUGUUAGUGCAUGAGCAUCUAUCAACAAUGCUGACAGAAUUUUGGAAACAUAAAGAAAGGGAUGAAAUGUUGUAAUGAUUUACUAUGUAAGUCAAAAGGCUACACAUAUGUUGGAUUAAAUAACAGUAAAUUAUAAAAUGAUGUAUCUUUGUUGUGUUCAAUUCCCCUCCUUAGUAGAAUGGUUGUAUGUCCAAUGUAAAUUUAAUGAGAAAUGGUA
This 6080-nucleotide long non-coding RNA is filed under the name Vitis vinifera (wine grape). The record is from RNAcentral. Lineage: Eukaryota; Viridiplantae; Streptophyta; Magnoliopsida; Vitales; Vitaceae.